GACGAACGCUGGCGGCGUGCCUAACACAUGCAAGUCGAGCGGAGAUACAUUGAAGAGCAAUCAGAUAUGUAUCUUAGCGGCGGACGGGUGAGUAACGCGUGGGCAACCUGCCUCAUACUGGGGGAUAACACAGGGAAACUUGUGCUAAUACCGCAUAAUAUCAUUAUAGGGCAUCCUGUGAUGAUCAAAGGAGCAAUCCGGUGUGAGAUGGGCCCGCGUCCAAUUAGCUAGUUGGUGAGGUAACGGCCCACCAAGGCGACGAUUGGUAGCCGAACUGAGAGGUUGAUCGGCCACAUUGGGACUGAGACACGGCCCAGACUCCUACGGGAGGCAGCAGUGGGGAAUAUUGCGCAAUGGCCGCAAGGCUGACGCAGCAACGCCGCGUGGGUGAUGAAGGCCUUCGGGUCGUAAAGCCCUGUCAGGUGGGAGAAAGGCCUUAAGGAGAAACGCUGAGGUUGACGGUACCACCAGAGGAAGCACC
RNAcentral lists this ribosomal RNA (481 nucleotides) under uncultured bacterium. RNAcentral's name for it is "bacterial SSU rRNA". It matches the Rfam family "Bacterial small subunit ribosomal RNA", at positions 28 to 494 of the family's 1533-position model. The record is from RNAcentral.